UACGAAGGGGGCUAGCGUUGCUCGGAAUCACUGGGCGUAAAGGGCGCGUAGGCGGCGUUGUAAGUCGGGGGUGAAAGCCUGUGGCUCAACCACAGAAUGGCCUUCGAUACUGGGACGCUUGAGUAUGGUAGAGGUUGGUGGAACUGCGAGUGUAGAGGUGAAAUUCGUAGAUAUUCGCAAGAACACCGGUGGCGAAGGCGGCCAACUGGACCAUUACUGACGCUGAGGCGCGAAAGCGUGGGGAGCAAACAGG
This 253-nucleotide ribosomal RNA is filed under the name uncultured bacterium. RNAcentral's name for it is "partial 16S ribosomal RNA". It matches the Rfam family "Bacterial small subunit ribosomal RNA", at positions 524 to 776 of the family's 1533-position model. The record is from RNAcentral.